UGACUAUUUUGCCCUUAGGAGGGUAUUUUGGUAAAUUAGUAAAUCAUGCCUUUCACCUUUAUAUAUAUGUAGUUGUACUAUUUCAAUUCAUUUGUUCCCACUACUUCAUCACUUCAUUCAUAUUGUUCACUUGAGUCCGGUUCCCUUUCCUCUCACCAUACCUUUCUGUGUCCGGUUCAUUGUUCUUAGGUUUUGUGUGUUUUUUUUUCGUUUUUUUUGCUUUGGUUUUGUUCUAAGCCUGUUUUUCAUCUUCUUCUUCAGGUUUCUUUGCCAUCAAGCAUAAAGGUUUCUUGGUUGUCAAGCAUAAGGGUUUGUGAUUCUUGGAGUUGAUGUUGUUUAUGGCAAUUACUUCUUGAUAUUUUGUUUUGUUUUUGUGUGAUUUUGCUCUCUUUGUGUUGUUUUGUUUUUUUAAUGAGUGUUGGGUAAUGUUUUUUAAAAUUGACUUAUAUGUUUUUGGGUUCUUUUUAAUUUGAUUUUGGUUGCAUGUUUGAGACAAUUGCAAAAUGUUGAGACAAAUGCAAUAAGCUGUGAUUAAGUUGCAAAUAAACAGAUUAUAAGCCAUUUGAAUCAGUGUUUGUGAUCAAUUGAUGUUAAAGAUGGCCAUGGAUAUCAUUUGCUUGAUCACCAAGUAAUUUUAAGAACCUGGUUGCUGUUUGUGUUAUAUUUGUUUGCUAUUGAAUCAUGAUUUUGUUAUUUCUUUUUUAAACCAGUGAGAUUUUUGCUAACUUCUUUGGAAUACUGAACUGAUUCCAUGAGGUGUAGGACUCAUAAAUAUGGUUGCGUGCGAAAUUUGAGUGACAAUGACCUUUGGUUCUGACAUCAUUGCAUCAAUCCAUAAAAUAAGUUUGCAUACAUUGAUUUGAUUCCUGCUUAAAAAUUUGCAUUUCAAGAUGAUAGUUUUUUAUUUUAAAUUCUGUAUGAUAAGGAUUCUAAAUGUUGUGUCGAAGGUGUGAAAAACUGAUAUAGACUUCUGAUACAAAAUUUGGAAUGGAAUGAUGGAUGUUUUCAAUGUAGCUAAUCUCCAAUGUAAAAGCUUGAUUUAGAAAAUUAAAGGUUGGGUCUGAACCAACGCUGGAACUGUAAUUUUUGGAAUAUUUAACUGAUUCCAUCAGGUGUAGGGAUAGACAAAUUGCUGGUAUAAACCUACUAAAUUUUUGCUUAAAUUUUUUUGGAAUGGACUUCUUGGAAUAGACUUCUGAUACAAAUUUUUGCUUAAAAAUUUGCUGCUAUAGUCUUGGUUUACUUUCUUGGAUAUAUUGAACUGAUUGUUAUCUGAAAAUUUGCUGAAAAUCUUAAGUUCUUGUGAUUUGGUUGGUGACUUUGAGAGAUAGUGUUUGUCUGAGAAUAAAGUUAUAAUGAUGGUGUUUGAUACAAUAUUUGGGUGAAGGAUAGUCUCUAUUUUGUUUCAAUUUCCAAACAAGUUUAUCCAUUUGUAGUCUAUAAAAUAAGGAUCUUUCAUUUUUUAAGUAAGUUAACUAUAAUGAUGACAUUGGAUCACUUUGGUUGCAUAAAAUUGAUUGAUUAGAAUUGUUAAAAUCUGAUGCUUGAAAAUUUGCUGGUGUAGUGUUGGUUUACUUUCUUGGAUACAUUGUAUUGAGCUGAUUGUUACCUGAAAAAUUUGCUGAAAAUCUUUAGUUUUUGUGAUCUGAUUGGUGACUUUGAGAGCAAGUAACUGAUUGCCCUUCUCUGUAAUGCGUUGUUUUCGAUUUUUGGUUAGCUUUUGCAUUAGCAUCAGAUUGAUUGAGGUGAUUCUUACUUGAAAGUUUGUUGAUAUGGUGUUGGUUAACUUUCUUUUAUACGUUGAGGUUAUUCUUGGUUGAAAAUUUGCUAAGUGUGUUACCGCAGGACCUGUUGGUUCAUAUGCUUAUUGUUUUGACAUUUUAAUGAAUGUGUGAUUUCCAUUUUUGUUGUAUCUGUUUUGCUGUAUUUUUGUACAGAGUUCUUGUCUUUAUAUUAAGUCUAGCUUCCAUAUUAUGAGUGUGUCUUUGGGUAUAUAGUAUAUUGUUAGCUCAGUCCUAAAUGUUCUGAUUUUGUCAUGCCAAGUACCAUUUUGUGCCAUCUCUUGGAAAAUUUAUGCAUAUACUGUAAUGUAAUCCAAGUGUAAGUACAAACUGAAAGGUUCUCUUUGCAGAAAAUAAGAGAAAACCAGAGCUCACCAAAAUCAUUGUCGCCUCUUCUGGUUUUAUGAAAGCCAAUGAAGUUGCUCAGAAAGCUUUUUAUGGCAUAAGACGUGGCAGUUUUAUCAUUUCUUGCAAUUUGGAGGGUAUUACGUUAUCCCUAGCAACUUCAGGUUUAUCCCCUCAGAGGUCAUUCUUAAUGGCAUUUGUUGAGGUUAUUGCUGCUGGAAUAAUGUGUAUUGCAGCACUGUCUCCAGUGGAACUGGUAUGGAAGUAUAGAGAAGUGGCACAAGCAAAGGAAGUGUCAGUUAAUGGUGCUCUUGCUUAACUGAAAUUGCCAGAUUGUGACUACCAAUGGAUACUCAAGCGCGGAAAAUUCUGCACGAUGUGCUUGAUGAAAUUGGUGUGGAUGUUGCCUCAGUUAUCAGCAGCUCCCAAAGGGGGAAUCGCAACAAAGAAUACUGAAAAUGUCGGCAGGAAUCUCUCUCUGCUUAUGCUAAAAAUGAUUUGGAUCUGGCUGGGAACUGCACUCCUGCAAAUGUGUUAACAAUGUAUAAUUUGUAUAAUAUUUCGAUGACUAUGUGUUGAAAUUAUGGUUUGGAUAUAGUAAUCCAACCCUUUUUUUGAUAAUCAAACUUAAAUAGGUUUUUGACUAUAUCGCAGCAUCUAUAUUUUGGCUGCAGUACACUAUCUAUACAAUAACAAUGGUUGCUACGUUAGUUACUAUGUAAUACACGUUCCAUGA
Molecule: long non-coding RNA, 2862 nt
Organism: Medicago truncatula (barrel medic)
Lineage: Eukaryota; Viridiplantae; Streptophyta; Magnoliopsida; Fabales; Fabaceae
Exons: 6
Source: RefSeq, a predicted model, not a curated record